RNAcentral lists this ribosomal RNA (426 nucleotides) under uncultured bacterium. Its description in RNAcentral is "bacterial SSU rRNA". It matches the Rfam family "Bacterial small subunit ribosomal RNA", at positions 354 to 796 of the family's 1533-position model. The record is from RNAcentral.
GUCGGGAAUAUUGCUCAAUGGGCGAAAGCCUGAAGCAGCAACGCCGCGUGCGCGAAGAAGGCCUUCGGGUCGUAAAGCGCUUUUUGGGGAGAUGAGGAAGGACAGUAUCCCCAGAAUAAGGUACGGCUAACUACGUGCCAGCAGCCGCGGUAAAACGUAGGUACCGAGCGUUAUCCGGAUUUACUGGGCGUAAAGCGCGUUCAGGCGGCUUAGCAAGUCGGGCAUGAAAUCUCUCGGCUCAACCGGGAGAAGCUGUCCGAUACUGUUAGGCUUGAGGGCGGGAGAGGGUGGUGGAAUUCCGGGUGUAGUGGUGAAAUGCGUAGAGAUCCGGAGGAACACCAGUGGCGAAGGCGGCCACCUGGCCCGACCCUGACGCUAACACGCGAAAGCUAGGGGAGCGAACGGGAUUAGAAACCCGUGUAGUCC